AAAUAUGUAAAUUUCUUAGAACUUAUGUGUAUAUCAAUUUUAUAAUUUUAAUGAUAAUCAAGUUAUUGCGAAUGUCYAAUACUUAAUCUUUACAAGAAAAUAAAAMAUGGCUAGUACAUCCAGUGAUCAAAGUAUUAUUGCUCAGAAAACUUGGGAAAUGUCAAAUGAAGUUGAAACAAUCAGUGCUAGUGAUGAAGUUUAMAAAUUUGAUAAACAACGAAACCAAGAGAUAUUGUGUAUUAAGCCAUGGGAAAAAAGGACAGGAACAAGGGUUAAUGCGAAAGCUCAAACAUAUGAAUAYAUGGAUUCUAUAAAACAGGUAAAAUGGAAAAAAAGAUCAUUUUGUUUCUUGCAYAAUGUCAUAGUAUUUURUUUAAUGUAAUAAAAUAUCCAUUUAGGUUGRCAGAUUAGAGAACGUUAUUGGCUGGUAUCAUAGUCAUCCAGGUUAUGKAUGUUGGUUAUUUGGUAUUGAUGUGGCUACACAACUUAUGAAUCAGAAUUAUCAAGAUCCAUUUGUCGCUAUUGUAAUUGAUCCUGUGCAAACUAUUUCUGCGGSUAAAGUUUGCUUAGGAGCAUUUAGAACUUAUCCAAAAGUGCGUAUCAAAAGUUAUAUAGAAUUAUGAUUCUAAUACAUCUUAUACAGUUGCAUGCAAAAUUAUCCGACCAAACAUACUUUAAUCAUUUAGUAUGUUUUACAAAAUGCARAAUGAAAACUCAAAUAUAUCAUUGUAAAGCGUUUUUAUUAUGCCAUCGAAAUAUGUCAUUUAAAUAUUGUUUAUAACUAUUAACAAUUAUUUGUUASAAAUAUGACAGUUUCUGGUUUUUCAUAAAUAUCCGGUCAUGUUCUAUAAAGGUAUUAUUAAUSAAGGUAGAAUGUAAUUUACUUAGCUAUGUUCACGUUAUCAGUCGCAAAUCUAUGUAAACAUUGAGUUCGUAGUCUUUUCUAUAUUGUACGAUCAGUAACACUUUGUCAAAAUGCCGAAACGCACGUCUCUUUAAACAUUCGUAAAUUAAUGAUUAAAUUACACGAUGAAGGAAAAGUCUUCCGUGAAAUAUCAACAAUUUUGGCUAUCGGAAAUUCG
Molecule: long non-coding RNA, 1082 nt
Organism: Polistes dominula (European paper wasp)
Lineage: Eukaryota; Metazoa; Arthropoda; Insecta; Hymenoptera; Vespidae
Source: RefSeq, a predicted model, not a curated record